This 232-nucleotide ribosomal RNA is filed under the name uncultured Allobrachymonas sp. Its description in RNAcentral is "uncultured Brachymonas sp. partial 16S ribosomal RNA". It matches the Rfam family "Bacterial small subunit ribosomal RNA", at positions 1152 to 1382 of the family's 1533-position model. Lineage: Bacteria; Pseudomonadati; Pseudomonadota; Betaproteobacteria; Burkholderiales; Comamonadaceae. The record is from RNAcentral.
CCGGUGACAAACCGGAGGAAGUGGGGAUGACGUCAAGUCCUCCAUGGCCCUUAUAGGUGGGGCUACACACGUCAUACAAUGGCCGGUACAGAGGGUAGCCAACCCGCGAGGGGGAGCCAAUCCCACAAAGCCGGUCGUAGUCCGGAUCGCAGUCUGCAACUCGACUGCGUGAAGUCGGAAUCGCUAGUAAUCGCGGAUCAGCAUGUCGCGGUGAAUACGUUCCCGGGUCCUU